CGCCUUUAUGUGUUGCCCAUUCAUUGCUUUCUCUGGUGAAUGUGGUGUCAACAAAGGCAUAAAGCAAUUUUUGGAGUUUUUGUGAGCCAGUUGGAGUCAUUUGUAUUUUAAAAGGUAAAUCU
Molecule: small nucleolar RNA, 122 nt
Organism: Scophthalmus maximus (turbot)
Lineage: Eukaryota; Metazoa; Chordata; Actinopteri; Pleuronectiformes; Scophthalmidae
Source: Ensembl